GACGAACGCUGGCGGCGUGCUUAACACAUGCAAGUCGAGCGGAGCGGCGAACGGGUGAGUAACGCGUGAGUAACUGCCCCCCUCUCUGGGAUAACAGUUGGAAACGGCUGCUAAUACCGGAUAGUGGGGGAUGACUCGCGUCCUAUCAGCUUGUUGGUGGGGUAGUGGCCUACCAAGGCGACGACGGGGAGCCGGCCUGAGAGGGCGACCGGCCAGACUGGGGUGUGAUAAGGCCCAAGCUCGUACGGGGGGCAGCGGCUGGGAAUAAGGCACCUGGGGGGCAACCCUGGGGCCGGUAGAAGAGUGCGCGUUGCAUGUAUGCGGUUUCUAAACCGAUUUCAGCCGGGACGGGUUAGUUGUUUAUGAAGAACCGGGUAACGACGUGCCAGCCGCCGCGGUAAUAC
RNAcentral lists this ribosomal RNA (404 nucleotides) under uncultured bacterium. RNAcentral's name for it is "partial 16S ribosomal RNA". It matches the Rfam family "Bacterial small subunit ribosomal RNA", at positions 28 to 526 of the family's 1533-position model. The record is from RNAcentral.